Molecule: ribosomal RNA, 627 nt
Filed under: uncultured bacterium
Lineage: Bacteria
Description: bacterial SSU rRNA
Rfam family: Bacterial small subunit ribosomal RNA
Source: RNAcentral
AGAGUUUGAUCAUGGCUCAGAUUGAACGCUGGCGGCAGGCCUAACACAUGCAAGUCGAACGGUAGCACAGAGAGCUUGCUCUCGGGUGACGAGUGGCGGACGGGUGAGUAAUGUCUGGGAAACUGCCUGAUGGAGGGGGAUAACUACUGGAAACGGUAGCUAAUACCGCAUAACGUCGCAAGACCAAAGAGGGGGAUCUUCGGGCCUCUUGCCAUCAGAUGUGCCCAGAUGGGAUUAGCUAGUAGGUGGGGUAACGGCUCACCUAGGCGACGAUCCCUAGCUGGUCUGAGAGGAUGACCAGCCACACUGGAACUGAGACACGGUCCAGACUCCUACGGGAGGCAGCAGUGGGGAAUAUUGCACAAUGGGCGCAAGCCUGAUGCAGCCAUGCCGCGUGUAUGAAGAAGGCCUUCGGGUUGUAAAGUACUUUCAGCGGGGAGGAAGGUGUUGUGGUUAAUAACCACAGCAAUUGACGUUACCCGCAGAAGAAGCACCGGCUAACUCCGUGCCAGCAGCCGCGGUAAUACGGAGGGUGCAAGCGUUAAUCGGAAUUACUGGGCGUAAAGCGCACGCAGGCGGUCUGUCAAGUCGGAUGUGAAAUCCCCGGGCUCAACCUGGGAACUGCAU